Molecule: ribosomal RNA, 567 nt
Filed under: Melampsora aecidioides
Lineage: Eukaryota; Fungi; Basidiomycota; Pucciniomycetes; Pucciniales; Melampsoraceae
Description: eukaryotic LSU rRNA
Rfam family: 5.8S ribosomal RNA (bases 182-336)
Source: RNAcentral
GAGCGCACUUUAAUGUGACUCUUUGUAUCAACAUUACCACCCAACCCAGAGGUGCAUUGUGGCCUUUAACGAGGUUAGCAGUGUAUCAGUACGUAUCCCAAAGGCAACUUUGAGUUACAUUACCCAUCAUUUACCCCCAUUUACACUUAAGAAGUUUUAAGAAUGAUACCCAUACCUAUAUAACUUUCAGCAAUGGAUCUCUAGGCUCUCACGUCGAUGAAGAACACAGUGAAAUGUGAUACGUAAUGUGAAUUGCAGAAUUCAGUGAAUCAUCGAAUCUUUGAACGCACCUUGCACCUUUUGGUUAUUCCGAAAGGUACACCUGUUUGAAUGUCACRAAACCCCCCUCGGCUCUAAUGCUUUCUAAAAGGAUUUGAGACGGAUUCUGAGUGUUGGCGUGAUCACGCCUCGCUUCAAAUAGAUCAGCACUUUUGGAUGGUUGAAUAUUAGUUUGAAAGACGUACUUGAUGUUGUAUUUAUAUUUCGUUGAGGCAGUCUUUGGUCGUUCCGACUAUCCGCUAAUAUGAAGACUUGAAGAAUAGCUUCCUAACCCUAUGAAUUAACCUU